GUGCUCACUUCGGCAGCACAUAUACUAAAAUUGGAAAGACACAGAGAUUAGCAUGGCUCCUGUGCAAGGAUGACACAAAUUUGUGAAGUGUUCCACAUUUUG
This is a small nuclear RNA of Choloepus didactylus (southern two-toed sloth), 102 nucleotides long. Lineage: Eukaryota; Metazoa; Chordata; Mammalia; Pilosa; Megalonychidae. The record is from RefSeq and is a predicted model, not a curated record.